GGCUCAGGAUGAACGCUAGCGGGAGGCCUAACACAUGCAAGCCGAGCGGUAGAGAGUAGCUUGCUACUCUUGAGAGCGGCGCACGGGUGCGUAACACGUGUGCAACCUACCUUUAUCUGGGGGAUAGCCUUUCGAAAGGAAGAUUAAUACCCCAUAAUAUAUUGACUGGCAUCAGUUGAUAUUGAAAACUCCGGUGGAUAGAGAUGGGCACGCGCAAGAUUAGAUAGUUGGUGAGGUAACGGCUCACCAAGUCAAUGAUCUUUAGGGGUCCUGAGAGGGAGAUCCCCCACACUGGUACUGAGACACGGACCAGACUCCUACGGGAGGCAGCAGUGAGGAAUAUUGGACAAUGGGUGAGAGCCUGAUCCAGCCAUCCCGCGUGAAGGAUGACGGCCCUAUGGGUUGUAAACUUCUUUUGUACAGGGAUAAACCUACCCUCGUGAGGGUAGCUGAAGGUACUGUACGAAUAAGCACCGGCUAACUCCGUGCCAGCAGCCGCGGUAAUACGGAGGGUGCAAGCGUUAUCCGGAUUUAUUGGGUUUAAAGGGUCCGUAGGCGGAUCUGUAAGUCAGUGGUGAAAUCUCGCAGCUUAACUGCGAAACUGCCAUUGAUACUGCAGGUCUUGAGUAAAUUUGAAGUGGCUGGAAUAAGUAGUGUAGCGGUGAAAUGCAUAGAUAUUACUUAGAACACCAAUUGCGAAGGCAGGUCACUAAGAUUUAACUGACGCUGAGGGACGAAAGCGUGGGGAGCGAACAGGAUUAGAUACCCUGGUAGUCCACGCCGUAAACGAUGCUAACUCGUUUUUGGAGCGCAAGCUUCAGAGACCAAGCGAAAGUGAUAAGUUAGCCACCUGGGGAGUACGUUCGCAAGAAUGAAACUCAAAGGAAUGACGG
This 893-nucleotide ribosomal RNA is filed under the name uncultured bacterium. RNAcentral's name for it is "bacterial SSU rRNA". It matches the Rfam family "Bacterial small subunit ribosomal RNA", at positions 21 to 916 of the family's 1533-position model. The record is from RNAcentral.